GAUGAACGCUGGCGGCGUGCUUAACACAUGCAAGUCGAACGGGAAUUAUUUUAUUGAAACUUCGGUCGAUUUAAUUUAAUUCUAGUGGCGGACGGGUGAGUAACGCGUGGGUAACCUGCCUUAUACAGGGGGAUAACAGUCAGAAAUGGCUGCUAAUACCGCAUAAGCGCACAGAGCUGCAUGGCUCAGUGUGAAAAACUCCGGUGGUAUAAGAUGGACCCGCGUUGGAUUAGCUGGUUGGUGGGGUAACGGCCCACCAAGGCGACGACCCAUAGCCGGCCUGAGAGGGUGAACGGCCACAUUGGGACUGAGACACGGCCCAGACUCCUACGGGAGGCAGCAGUGGGGAAUAUUGCACAAUGGGGGAAACCCUGAUGCAGCGACGCCGCGUGAAGGAAGAAGUAUCUCGGUAUGUAAACUUCUAUCAGCAGGGAAGAUAGUGACGGUACCUGACUAAGAAGCCCCGGCUAACUACGUG
This 478-nucleotide ribosomal RNA is filed under the name uncultured bacterium. RNAcentral's name for it is "partial 16S ribosomal RNA". It matches the Rfam family "Bacterial small subunit ribosomal RNA", at positions 28 to 507 of the family's 1533-position model. The record is from RNAcentral.